AUUUUAUAUAGUUUAAAUAAAACAAUACAUUUUCAUUGUAUAAAUAAAAUAUUUUUUUAUAAUUAAUUG
Molecule: transfer RNA, 69 nt
Filed under: Triaenodes tardus
Lineage: Eukaryota; Metazoa; Arthropoda; Insecta; Trichoptera; Leptoceridae
Description: tRNA-Glu
Source: RNAcentral